GACGAACGCUGGCGGCGCGCCUAACACAUGCCAGUCGAACGAGCGAGAGGAGGUUUACUUUCUCAAGCGAGUGGCGAACGGGUGAGUAACGCGUGAGGAACCUGCCUCAAAGAGGGGGACAACAGUUGGAAACGACUGCUAAUACCGCAUAAGCCCACGACCCGGCAUCGGGUAGAGGGAAAAGGAGCAAUCCGCUUUGAGAUGGCCUCGCGUCCGAUUAGCUAGUUGGUGAGGUAAUGGCCCACCAAGGCGACGAUCGGUAGCCGGACUGAGAGGUUGAACGGCCACAUUGGGACUGAGACACGGCCCAGACUCCUACGGGAGGCAGCAGUGGGGAAUAUUGCACAAUGGGGGAAACCCUGAUGCAGCGACGCCGCGUGGAGGAAGAAGGUCUUCGGAUUGUAAACUCCUGUUGUGGAGGAAGAUAAUGACGGUACUCAACAAGGAAGUGACGGCUAACUACGUG
Molecule: ribosomal RNA, 466 nt
Filed under: uncultured bacterium
Lineage: Bacteria
Description: partial 16S ribosomal RNA
Rfam family: Bacterial small subunit ribosomal RNA
Source: RNAcentral